This 225-nucleotide long non-coding RNA is filed under the name Elaeis guineensis (African oil palm). RNAcentral's name for it is "long non-coding RNA (EGUI_LNC020351)". The record is from RNAcentral. Lineage: Eukaryota; Viridiplantae; Streptophyta; Magnoliopsida; Arecales; Arecaceae.
GUGUUGUGAUGAAAUUCUUAGGACUUUAUUUAAUCGAUAAAAGAGAAUUUAUCGUUUAGUCUUUAAAACAUAUUCACAAUCAAAUGAUAUGCUAUUAAUAGGACAACAACGAUAUCGAGUAUAGAUCAUUGUGUACCAUAUGGAUUGAUUGUCCUUUUAAUCAAGGAGUGUAGGGACACUGGUAUGAUAUGUAGGUAAAAUAUAGGAGUAUAUUCACAUCGAACG